RNAcentral lists this transfer RNA (73 nucleotides) under Candidatus Latescibacterota bacterium. RNAcentral describes it as "tRNA-Asp". It matches the Rfam family "tRNA". Rfam says of the family: Transfer RNA (tRNA) molecules are approximately 80 nucleotides in length. Their secondary structure includes four short double-helical elements and three loops (D, anti-codon, and T loops). Further hydrogen bonds mediate the characteristic L-shaped molecular structure. tRNAs have two regions of fundamental functional importance: the anti-codon, which is responsible for specific mRNA codon recognition, and the 3' end, to which the tRNAs corresponding amino acid is attached (by aminoacyl-tRNA synthetases). tRNAs cope with the degeneracy of the genetic code in two manners: having more than one tRNA (with a specific anti-codon) for a particular amino acid; and 'wobble' base-pairing, i.e. permitting non-standard base-pairing at the 3rd anti-codon position. Lineage: Bacteria; Pseudomonadati; Candidatus Latescibacterota. The record is from RNAcentral.
GGGGUUGUAGCUUAACUGGUAGAGUGCCGUCCUGUCAAGGCGGAAAGUGAGGGUUCGAAUCCCUUCAGCCCCG